This is a long non-coding RNA of Zalophus californianus (California sea lion), 693 nucleotides long. RefSeq lists it as uncharacterized. The transcript has 2 exons. The record is from RefSeq and is a predicted model, not a curated record. Lineage: Eukaryota; Metazoa; Chordata; Mammalia; Carnivora; Otariidae.
UGGGCCCCAACUGAAGAAUUUUGUCAAAAUCAGGACACGUCGGUGAAAACCAAGGAGGUGAAGCUAGAAAUGGACUCUGUCCCUCCCCAUCCACCUCCUCGCUCCCCACCAGCCCCUCGCGGCGAGUGGCUGAGCCUGGUGCUCCUGCGCCCUGCACCCUGACCCCUGGUUACGGGGCAGCAGUCCAUGCAGCAAGCAGAGAGGUGCUCUGAGAAGCUACGCAAAAAUGAAGGCUUUCCUAAGAAGGAGAAGGUGAGGUAAGGCGUUAACAGCAAAAGAAAAGGAAGGAUUGUUUCAGGCCAGGACAUCAGGGAGAAACAGCUUGUAUCACACAGAUGGCAGAUGACCUCACUAGUGCUGAGCCGGACAUGUCAGAUGGACUUACAAAAGGUCACCUUCCUGGGAGAGGCUGACAUUGUGAUGAAGCCUUGGGUGUGCUGUGGGGGGGGGGGGGCAAAUGACUCCAAUGUGGGCUUAUUUCUUUUUGAACAGGGUGGAGCUUUGAUGGGGGGAGGGGACACCUGAAGUGGGGUGCCCACAACUUUGAAAAAGUUGAGGGGUUCCAGUGGGGACAGAGAGACCGCUCUGAGUUUGUCAGGGCAGCAGGUCUGGAAAGGGUCCUGGAAAGGAGUAAGGUAGGGUAGGAAGUGGCCCUUCUUUCUCCAGGAGGGCUGCUUCCUUCCUCCCACCUCC